UGGGUAUAUAUCAAAUUGUAUAUAGCUUUGAACAAGCUUGCAGCUUGAAGUUCGAUUUAUGAGCAGAGGUAAAAGAAAUCAAAUGGCUACCUUGUGAGAAAUUUCAGUGAGUGUUGAUCCUGUUUGUUUGCUGGAAAAGAAGGUUCAUAGAUAUGAAUACCAUUUAAAUGAAGGCUCUUAUUCAUAGGGAAGAAUGUAAGAAACUGAUUUAGUAAAUACUUACUUGUGUGCUGGAUUCUGUACGCCAAAGAGAGAGUCUGAAAUGGUGGGAAUUGCCAAGAGGAAAUGGCUUUGCAGACAAG
Molecule: long non-coding RNA, 302 nt
Filed under: Salvia miltiorrhiza (redroot sage)
Lineage: Eukaryota; Viridiplantae; Streptophyta; Magnoliopsida; Lamiales; Lamiaceae
Description: long non-coding RNA (SMIL_LNC006652)
Source: RNAcentral